AGUUAAUUGUAUUUUAUCUUCUGAUGGGUGGGUUGGUAGCUUUUGCUUUGCAACAGACCCAGAGGAAUUCUUGUGCAGCCUAAUGCCAAGAAUAUGUGUUAUUUCAUAUUCUGUUAUUUGCUUUAGGUUUAAGGUGGUGAGAGGAAAUUCCCCAGCAAUCAGCCCUAAGUGGUUCUGCAGUGAGCAAGUCUUUCAGUGCUUGAACAUCACUUAGUAGAGGCUCUGGGAACGGGGUGUGUGCACCAAAAAAGCACCAAGGAGGAACUGGAGCCUUGGCAGGACCGGGAGGGUGCCCAGAGCAGCUCUGCAAGCAGAAUGAGUGCCUUCACCCCUCUGUCAUCACCAGCCCCUGAGAGCAAUCACCACCCACCAACAGUUCCUGGAGAUAAGGCCGAGCCAGCUGGGAGAAGAAAGCCUUUGAUAUUCCCUGCCUUGCUGACUGCGUUUCUCACAGCUCAGUCUGGAGUGGGCCAGGGGAGGUGGCUGGACACGAAAGAAUAACACUGAUGGGGGAUGCAGGGAAGGUGUUAAUCUUCUGCCAUGUGUGUAGAUAGUUUGGAGUAAGCUUUGGAGGACUUUUGGACAGUGGUGUCUCAAGUGAACAGUGUCACGAACACUCUGAGUAUAAACACUACUGAAUAAAACAAGCUCAGGGGAGAUGUUUUGUGUGAGGCAGGUGCCUUUAUGUUUUCAGAGAUUUCAGAGAGUUUUAAAACAAGAACCACACAUUUUUCCAUAAUGAGCACGGCUGUUUGUAG
Molecule: non-coding RNA, 758 nt
Organism: Cyanistes caeruleus (blue tit)
Lineage: Eukaryota; Metazoa; Chordata; Aves; Passeriformes; Paridae
Source: RefSeq, a predicted model, not a curated record